GGGCGUAUGGUCUAGUGGUCAAGACAUCUCAGUUGCAAAAAGUGUUUAUUGCCUUACAGCUGUUAGAAUGUACUACAGGUGCAAGAGUUCCAAUGAUACCAGUAUGCUCCAUGAGAACGUCCCAGGUUCGAAUCCUGGUACGUCCA
This is a non-coding RNA of Triangularia verruculosa, 146 nucleotides long. Lineage: Eukaryota; Fungi; Ascomycota; Sordariomycetes; Sordariales; Podosporaceae. The record is from the annotation of a GenBank genome assembly.